ACAAAAGCUUGUGACUAGGCCCCUUUGUUCCCAGGAAACAGCAGACAGUGAGCCGCAGGGCAGGGCCUCUCCAUGCCGUGAAUUCCCGCUUGUCCUUUCUCACAUAAUCUCAAGUGAGGCUUAUUUACAGCUCCUUGUCUGCCUUCCACCGGGGUGGCACUGGAGUGCCUCCCUGGCUAUUCUCACCCCACAUCUCUUGGAGAUCGUUCCCUCUUAGGACACAUGGCCUUGCCUCAUUGGCUGGAGUGACUGCGUGGUAUUCCGUCUCAUGAGUGUGUCAUGAUGCAUUUAACCCUUCAUCCCCUGUGGAUGGAAGGUUAGGCUGGAUCCCGUCUUUUGCAACCUGAACAAUGUUGGAGAGAUACCAUUUGUGUGCUGGGGGAGACGCAGCCCUAGAAGUGAAGCUGAUGCAGCAAGGGGAGCCAGGGAGGCACAUUGUAAAUGGUGGCGGGUGGUUCCAAAUGGCUCUCGAGAGUACACUCCACCACGAAUAUGUGAGGUGCCUGUGCUCCCCCCGCCCCCGACGUGACAGGUAGAAACUGAUAUUUUUCCUAGUUCUAAUUUGCAUUGAUUUUCUUAGGCUAGGGAUUUUGAAUGACGUGUGUAUCCUAAGGGCCAGGCAGGAGCUAUGUUUCAUUUCCCACAGAAAGCCUCAGAUCACUGGCCUGGGCAGAGAGGAAUGAGAAGCUGGGGCACCUUCUUCAUGUCCUCAAGAGCAGCAAGUCUCUGUUCUGGUCAUUCAAACUCAGUGCCCUAAAAAUGACCAUUAUGUGACCUUGCAUGGCUCUGUGGGGUGGCGGGGCUCAGCUGGGUGGGUCUUCUGCUGCUCUUGCUUGGGGUCUCUUGAGAAGAUGGUCCUGGGGAUGAAGCCAUUGGAGGCUUGGCUCUGAUGCUGUGAUGGUCAGGCCUCGCUUCUCCUCCAGGUGAUCUCAGGGCCUGUCCCUCUCCAUGGGGCCUCUCCACCUGGACGACUUGAGUGGUGCUCAAAGCUCCCAAGGGAGCAAACACCGAGGCUGUCAGGCCUUCUUGAGGCGGAGGCCCAGAGUGGCACAGCCUCACCCCCACGGCACUCUCCUGGAAUGAGUCCCAGAUAGUCCACAAGGGUGUGAUGUUGGGUGACCGUGCUCUGGGCGUGGUGGAUCAGCUGCUGGACGGUGAGAGGCACUCCCUGCAGGGUAGGUGGACGGCUGCCCCCAGGGCCUUACACAGCAAGGCCAGGGGACGGCCACCCUGGCCGGUGAGCCCGACUUCCAGGCAAGGCGCCUUCCUUGCAUCCCAGCUUGUUUGGAGCCUCCAGGACAUCCCUACUGAGGGUCCCACAGGAGCCUGGGUCUGGACAGGGACCCUCUCACCUCAAGUCAGACACCUUUCAUCCCCAACAGCAGAGGGACUGAUACCUCCCCCUGGCUACCCUCUGUCGCCCGAAGCCAGCCCUGACUUUGUGCAGGCGCCACUCACCUUCCUGAGGGUCCACCUGCCUCCCAGCUGGCUGUGCUCCCAGCCACCCUCCCUGCACAUGAAUGGGCCAACGAAGUCCAGAUAGCAAUGUCUGCCCAUCACAUAUCCCCCAGCCUGACCCCAUAUCCAGCAUCCCAGCACCCACCCUGUUCUGCUGGCACCCACCUGCCUCAGCCCUGCUUCGUGGUGUCAGAGGCAGGCCUAUCCUCCUGGCACCUCGACCCAGGAAGCUGCUGGGCAGCGCCUCCAGCCAGGGCCCUCCUCCCCUGGGCUGAGGCUGUGUGGUGGGGUCACUGGAUGGGAGGGAGGGAGGCCUUGGGGCCCGGAGUACCCUGCCACUACCCAGCAAUUCCAGCUGAUGCCUCCACAUCUUUGGAGUUGGGUCUGAUUGGUGAUGGGUUGGGGGCUUCUCAGUGUUCUACAGUCCAAUACUGCCCAGCUCCGGAGGCUCCUAUUGUACCAGGAGCAGGUGUUGCAUAAGUGCUUUCUGAAGAUCAUGAGACACCUGGGCAAGGAAGGACUGUGCAUUGAGUGUUUCAUGCUGCGGUGGCUCCUCCAGUGUUUCAUUGAUGGGGUAAGGAGGCACAGGGAGACCCCAGCCCAUGGACACAGUGCCCGGCUGCCCCAGCUCAGGGGUCCAGCUCCACCAGGAGGACGUGGCUCACCCCCAGCCCGUAGGAGGCACAGGCAGGUCCCUGCAUGACACACAAACCAGGCCCUGUUUGAGAGGGGGUAUCCCAUGGCAGAGGCCAGGGCUUAGGCCCAGCUUUAUGGGCAGACUGGACCAGGACCCGACUUGGGAGGGCCCAAGGAAGCCCAAAGUCCUCAGGAAGCCCCUCCUUCCAGAAGCAACAGCGCUGCUGAGGUGGGUCCCCCAUGAGGAGCUGCAGGACCUUGUCUGACCCUGCUUUAUAGGGGGCUCUCAUCCCAUGGAGAGGUGUUCCCAGCAUUCCAGGAGACUGAAACCCCAGGCGGCCCUGCUCAGGCCUCUGAGCCCAGCCCAGAAAGGCAGGUCCUCCCACACUUCCUGUCCCCACAAAAUCCUUCGGGCUCACCCUGCAACUGUGGGAUAUGCUCAUCUUGGAGGGCGAGCAGAGUGCCUCAUGAAGCUUUCCUGGAGCACCAUCUGGGAGUUUCAGGAGCGACUUUUUCAGAGCUGGGCCCCGGAGGACAACGUGGUCCUCAGGAACCUUCAAACCUCCGUGAAGGAACUCACAAGGAAACACUGGGACCUGCCACCCCCAGGUGGGCUCCAGCACCAAGUCUCCUCCCAAGUCACCCUCUGGGGCAGUCAGUGGUGGGGAGUGCCCUGGCCCUACCAGCCCUCCUACCUGGCCUUCCUCCUGCACCUCUUCCUCCUCUACUCUAAGAAAGUAAAAUGGGUCUGCCACUCCUCAGGGCAGGCACUGAGCGUGUGUGUGCGGGACAUGAGGUGCAGACAGGCAGGGGCUGUGGGCAGGACCCCCCAACUUCCCUCCCCCUCUUUCCACAUUGUCCCCAUCACCCCCUCAAAGGGCCCUGAAGGGCACUGGGGCAGUCAGAUCCAGGUGUGGAAGACCCCACCCCUGCCUCCAAGCAGCAGGAUCCCUCAUUCUUGAGUGCCCCUCCAAGCCUGUCAAGACAACAAGCCAGGAGGACAAGAGAGAAUCAGUGUCCCAGAUCCAGAGAGGAUUUGGGCAGAGGGCACGGGGGGAAGCCCUGACCCAGAGCCAGAACCAAGAGUUCAGCCGGGCAUGGGAUUUGUCCAGCCCUGGCAUGGGGUGGACGGCCUGGAGGGCAGAGGGAAACCCGUGCCCUUCACUUCUCACCCACUGUGGAGACAGACCCCAUGCGAGGUGGCAAGGGGGCUGGGUGACAGUGAAGGUCCCUUUCACCUGAGUUCUGAGUCAGGGCUGCUGAACAGCCCUGAGGUGAGGGAGGGCGUGAGGCAGGAAGCCCUGAGCCAGCCUGAAGCCUGGGAGCCGUUUCAGGACCGACCUGAGGUUCCCUGAAAGCUCCCCCACCCCAGGCUGCACACAGCCCUCACCCUGGGAUCAGCAGCUUGCAGAGGUGUCCUCAGUGUCAGGCCAGAGGACACCCGGGGACCCCAGGACUCCAGAGGCCCAGGGCUGUGGGCCCAGCCCUGGAGAGGCCCCUGAGGCCUCUGACCCCACCUGUGGGUCAGAGCCUGUCCCCCAGGGCCUGAGUCCCAGGCCCAGAGGGACCUGGCUUCAACUCGAGUUGUCCUAGGAGGACAGGGGCACUGCAGAUCUCCAGGUGACCACGCAGGGCACCAGGGCACUGCAAGCCCUGAUGCUGUAAGGAUUCACAUCAGAGAACCUGGGCAAGCCAGGCCAGAGACGCUGAGCCCGUGCAGUGAUGAGGAUGUGGAGGGCUGGCUCAAGGGGGUCAACAGCUGUGAACACUGCUGCCUCUUCCCGGCCUCAUUGUUGCAGUGCAGGCAGUCUGCACCCCGGAGCCUGGCCCAACAGCGCCCCGAGUGCCCUAGUCCACUAUGCCAACAUGGUACCCGGAGGCUUCGAGGCCCUGCCUGCUGCACCACCCGCCUCCUGGAGGCCUUGUUCUGCAGCCUAGCCCCUGCCGCAGCCACAGCAGGCACCACUGCCAAGUGCCUUCCAGCCGGGCUUCCCAGAGGACAGAGGCAUCCUGCAGUCAUUGCCUCAGCAGCUCACACUGUGAAGAUAGUUUCAUCCACAUUCCCAUGUUCCCACCAAAGAGAAUCCCUGCAGAGGGUGCUCUUGAUCCUGCGGUGGGGAAAACAGCACACUAGGUGGACUCAGCUCCUUUCCCUGGCCACCAUGAUUGCUGGAUGGGCCCACAAAGCAGCCAUCAGACAGGCAUGUUGGGGAAGAGCCUAAGCAAUCCUGCUUGUUCCCUGACCAGACCGACACCACUGCCGAGUGCCCCAUCUGCUGAUGAGAGAUUUGGUGUCGAUCCCUGGACUGGCACCAUUUCCCAGGAGGAGCGGCUGGCUACCUGUGGGCAGGCUGCCCACACUGUGGAGAGGGCUGAGAUCGGCCUUCACUACGGGGAGCCCCUACCUGGACAUAGACUCGCCAGCCCUGCCUGUUGCCAUCACAGCAGCCCACAUGGCAUUGCUUGUGACCAGGGUACCCCAUUCACAGUGACGGACAUGCAGCAGUGGCCCUUGACUAGGGAACUAACUCUUCUCGCUACGUCACCCACCGCCUGGAAGCAACUGGACUUAGGAUCGCUGUUAUGCUGAAGUGGUGAGGUUGUCUUACAAGAUGAAUUUUAUCCUUUCUACUGGAAGCCAGUGUAUGGUGAUGACUCCCCCACAACCAGAAGGUGUAGUUCUGAGUGAAGGUGUGAAAGUGGACGAUGUUCAGUGUUGCACCGAAUGUCUCAGUCACAAAGUUUUCCUAUUGCCUGUCCUGGAGAAAUGGAACUUUGCUGGUUGGAAGGUCUUAGGACCCAGGAAGAGUGAAGCUUCCCCCAGGGGAACACAACAAUGGUUCUAUUUAAUAUGAGGAGACAGGACUAAGUCUGAAACCUCGGGGCAUUCUCUGGUGUUCUUGAGUGUUUCCAUGUAAAGGAAGUCAAGUAACUUGCCACAAAGCUUUGCCACAGAAGCAUCUGAAAAAGGAGGGGGCAGAACUAUUCAGAACUCAGAGGUUUCAGAACCAAAGAUGAGGCCGAGAAGAUUCCUGACCCGCUGAGGGCAAGGGAAGUAUGUGGGGGCGGCUGGGAGAGGAUGUUAUAGAGUCCGCCAUGGCCUCGUGACCUGUCACAGAACCGUGCACUUUAAUAGCUGUGCACAUCUUCUCUGCACUGAUUAUAGUAUUUCUUUGCCUUUGCUACUCUCCACACAGGGAGCUUGCUACAAAAUGCACAUAACCACAGCCCGGGUCUUGCAAUCCAAGCCUGGCAAGGAUUCAGCAUGUCAAGGGCUUCAGGUCUGAAGGUCCAUGGCUGUCCUGAAUCCUGGAUAUCACCUUCUUGCCCAAAAAAGGAGGGACGAGGCUCAAACCGCAGCAGGCCACUCACAGAAAGGGACGAAACGUUGAGUGCGUGGCCUCCCUGACACCCAGACAAGACUUUGGGCCCAAAGCCAGGCUGCAGCUCUGGCCACUGACUCAGACCAGGGACGCCCCCAUGCAGGCCGGUGUCCCCUGGCCGCUCUUCUCCCUCCUGCCACCCUCUCUUCGGCUGCUUGUGUCAAUAAAAGGAAAACUGGCCAGUUCUCAGAGAAAAUGUAGCUUUAUUAUGACAUAGGAGAGACUACAAAGCACUGGGGGGGAGGAGGAGUGACACAGCUCCUCAAAAUGGAAGGGGAAAGGAAGAGUAAACAUCUUGGUAAAUAAAGUCUCCAACCACAGCACAGUCAUUGGAAUUUUUUUCUUCAUUUUUAUUUUCAAACUUACAGUAAACAAAACAAUCACUUAAAUUGUCAAAAGAACAGCAAUUUUACACAAUGAAGAGCAUACACACCAAGCCAAAAUACAAUAGCACUCAGGUCUAUAUGUUGCAGUGGUGCUGGCGCUGGAGGGAAUGCCCAGGGAGGCUGCAGUGCUCACCACGAAGCCCAGGUCCACGGAGGGAGCCAAGGUCCACAGAGGGCCCCGGGGCCAGAGGGAGGCCGCCCACACUCCCAGCACAUCACCUGCCUCAAAGCACUCCCUUCAGGCAUCUGAAGAGGGAAAGGCCAUGUGUCUUCCUGGGAGGCACUGAAAGGCCAGCCAGCAUCUCCAAAAUGCAGGCCAUUUUAACACUGCUGUGAAUGUGCUGGGGUCACCAAGGGGGCCCCUUAGUGGUCAGAUGCACUUUGUCACAAUGUACACCUACAUGGGGUGAUUACUAGGCAACGGGAGGUUUCCUGAAUUUCACAGCCAGAUGGGGAGCUAAAAGAAAUUCCUGAACCCAACGCGUAAAUAUUUUGUUCUGACAAAGUAAAUUCACAAGAACACAUCAAACACAAGACCUAAUGCAAGGGGCAGUGCCAGGGCCGCCGCCGCCUCCUGUGAGCAGCUCUUCAGCAGCAGGCAUCAGCUCUGCUGACAAGCUCAAUCACGGUGUCAUUUUACUGCCACCACGCCCGAAAGUAC
Molecule: long non-coding RNA, 6524 nt
Filed under: Homo sapiens (human)
Lineage: Eukaryota; Metazoa; Chordata; Mammalia; Primates; Hominidae
Description: non-protein coding CCDC144NL-AS1:50
Source: RNAcentral